Molecule: ribosomal RNA, 465 nt
Filed under: Vreelandella stevensii
Lineage: Bacteria; Pseudomonadati; Pseudomonadota; Gammaproteobacteria; Oceanospirillales; Halomonadaceae
Description: partial 16S ribosomal RNA
Rfam family: Bacterial small subunit ribosomal RNA
Source: RNAcentral
CCUACGGGUGGCAGCAGUGGGGAAUAUUGGACAAUGGGGGGAACCCUGAUCCAGCCAUGCCGCGUGUGUGAAGAAGGCCCUCGGGUUGUAAAGCACUUUCAGUGAGGAAGAACGCCUGGUGGUUAAUACCCAUCAGGAAAGACAUCACUCACAGAAGAAGCACCGGCUAACUCCGUGCCAGCAGCCGCGGUAAUACGGAGGGUGCGAGCGUUAAUCGGAAUUACUGGGCGUAAAGCGCGCGUAGGUGGCUUGAUAAGCCGGUUGUGAAAGCCCCGGGCUCAACCCGGGAACGGCAUCCGGAACUGUCAAGCUAGAGUGCAGGAGAGGAAGGUAGAAUUCCCGGUGUAGCGGUGAAAUGCGUAGAGAUCGGGAGGAAUACCAGUGGCGAAGGCGGCCUUCUGGACUGACACUGACACUGAGGUGCGAAAGCGUGGGUAGCAAACAGGAUUAGAUACCCUUGUAGUC